This 542-nucleotide long non-coding RNA is filed under the name Parus major (Great Tit). Its description in RNAcentral is "lncRNA (ENSPMJG00000010886.1)". The record is from RNAcentral. Lineage: Eukaryota; Metazoa; Chordata; Aves; Passeriformes; Paridae.
UUUUACAGAGUCUCUGGAAAUGGUCAUUCAAGUAAACUGCUUAGACACCAUGUGUGAGUACUGGAGUCUACUUUUCCCUAAUGAACUGAGUCAAACAUGAAGAGAGUCUCACAGAUAAAUUUCCUGCUGUCAGUGGCACAUCAGGGAAGAUUAAUAAGAGAUGAAAGAAUAACUCCUCCUCACAAGAAACAGCAGAUGUUAUUCGGUGCUUGCAAAGCAAAGGAGAUGGGACUGACAGAUGAUGCACUCAUCUUUACUGAGUGUGAUUCCUGACACCUAGCAUGGUCUUCAUUCACAAAGGUAAGCUUUAUCUUUACUAAUCAGAAUUUGUGGUAUUUUAACAGGUUUUAUUCCACUUAUAUCACAGAUUGUGCCCUUUAUUUGUGUGGAGCAAUGUUUCCUGAUACAGUGUGUUUUUUAUGUAUCCUCUGACUUGAUUGAUAUUGAUACACUUACUGUAAUUCUUUCACAAACUUAUCAAGCUAUGUUUUCUAAACUUAAAUCAGAGAAACAAAGUGCUUGCUUACCAGUAUGAGUCAGUG